AUUGCCUCAGUAACGGCGAGUGAAGCGGCAACAGCUCAAAUUUGAAAUCUGGCUCUCGGGCCCGAGUUGUAAUUUGUAGAGGAUGCUUUUGGUGCGGUGCCUUCCGAGUUCCCUGGAACGGGACGCCAUAGAGGGUGAGAGCCCCGUCUGGUUGGACGCCAAUCCUCUGUAAAGCUCCUUCGACGAGUCGAGUAGUUUGGGAAUGCUGCUCUAAAUGGGAGGUAUAUGUCUUCUAAAGCUAAAUACCGGCCAGAGACCGAUAGCGCACAAGUAGAGUGAUCGAAAGAUGAAAAGAACUUUGAAAAGAGAGUUAAAAAGUACGUGAAAUUGUUGAAAGGGAAGCGCUUGUGACCAGACUUGGGCUUGGUUGAUCAUCCAGGGUUCUCCCUGGUGCACUCUUCCGGCCCAGGCCAGCAUCAGUUCGCCCCGGGGGAAAAAGGCUUCGGGAAUGUGGCUCUCUCCGGGGAGUGUUAUAGCCCGCUGCGUAAUACCCUGUGGCGGACUGAGGUUCGCGCAUUCGCAAGGAUGCUGGCGUAAUGGUCAUCAGUGACCCGUCUUGAAACACGGACCAAGGAGUCGUCUUCGUAUGCGAGUGUUCGGGUGUCAAACCCCUACGCGAAAUGAAAGUGAACGCAGGUGAGAGCUUCGGCGCAUCAUCGACCGAUCCUGAUGUUUUCGGAUGGAUUUGAGUAAGAGCAUACGGGGCCGGACCCGAAAGAAGGUGAACUAUGCCUGUGUAGGGUGAAGCCAGAGGAAACUCUGGUGGAGGCUCGCAGCGGUUCUGACGUGCAAAUCGAUCGUCAAACAUGGGCAUGGGGGCGAAAGACUAAU
This 831-nucleotide ribosomal RNA is filed under the name Fusarium neocosmosporiellum. RNAcentral's name for it is "eukaryotic LSU rRNA". It matches the Rfam family "Eukaryotic large subunit ribosomal RNA", at positions 74 to 935 of the family's 3401-position model. The record is from RNAcentral. Lineage: Eukaryota; Fungi; Ascomycota; Sordariomycetes; Hypocreales; Nectriaceae.